Molecule: long non-coding RNA, 5735 nt
Organism: Rhincodon typus (whale shark)
Lineage: Eukaryota; Metazoa; Chordata; Chondrichthyes; Orectolobiformes; Rhincodontidae
Exons: 3
Source: RefSeq, a predicted model, not a curated record
GGCCGCGCGCGGCAUUGUCGUCAGCGCCGCGCAAGCGCGCGCGGCCCGGCCGAUCUUUUUAAUCGCCAAACCGGCGGCGGUGUAGGAGCUCUAUUCGCUUCGGGAUAGUGUUUGAGUCCUCUUACUCUAUCCGUCAAUCAACUUUGUGGCUCACAACUUGCGUUCGCCAUCUUGGUCUGAACUGGAAAUGGCCUGCUCCCUGAGGGAAGUACAUUUAGUGGCAACUUUCGGAAGAGAAUUGAAUAAACACCUGAAAAGGAGAAAGAAAAAUGCAUCGUCUCCCUUACCUCCAAGUUAUCAGCAUAUAUACUACUCCUCCCCCGCUCCUAUCGUUGCUGAAGGAGGCUCACUGGACCUGAAACGUUUAACUCUGUAUUUCUCCCCCCCCCCCCCCCCCCCUCCAAGUUUCUCCAGCAAUUUCUGUUUUUGUUGAAGACAAAAAUGCACAGUUUUGAUGCAGGAUCUGGGGCUAACUCUUUCCAAGUGAAAUGGAUUACAUUAGAUGCUCCUACAUUGCAGUUUACAGCUUGAUUUUAAGAUACAGAUGUGAAUACUGUUCGAAAAUGAUAACUGUCAAAGAAAAAGUCAGCUGUGUGUUUAUGGUUAGCAGGAUUGAAGUCCAUAACAGCCGAGAAGGGAGUCUGCUGUUCAUCAUAGGAAAAUGACACUACGCAGUAACUCAAUGAUUGGAUGAAUAGGUUUUUUAGGAAAUUGGUUCAGUAAAUGAUGAAAAAAGGUUGGGGAGGCCUUGAAUCAUCAAUUGUGAACAUUAUUUUUGUAAUAUUGCAGAAUUGCAUUGUGUAGUGUUUGGAACCAAGUGGAUCUUAUUGACGGAGAACCUUGAUUGGCGAUUGUUAACAUGGUCCAAUCAGGGACCUCUGGCUGACAGAUAUAAACAGGGGAUUCAGAGUCUCCUCACUGACUCCAAGCUGGCUGGUCACAGUGAGUGUACUGUGCACGUGUAAAUAAAGGGUUACUUGGUGACAGGAUACUGGCCUCAGUACAUUUUACUUUGCCUCUGAACUGUGACAACUUAAAUAUUUCAGAUGGCAUUUUAUUCUAGCCAAUUGUGCUCCCUGGGCCCAAUUUCAAACACGCAGUAGUUUUUGAAUGGCAUUUUGCCAGACUACUGAAUUAUGUAGAUGCAUACCCUGUGUUCUUGAUCUGGCCCAUAUGACAAUUCUUAUGGGGCAUUUUGAAACUCUUAUCAAAACCACGUUCUUUAGAUGAACUUCAGUCCAAGAUCAGAAAUGCAAGUCAUGAAAUCAAUUAGCAGCAACUUAAGAAUUGUUUCAAUGAAGUGGAAAAUGUGAAUAAUAAGUGUAAAAUCUGGUGGUUAUGUUGAAGUCAUGAAAUUUGACCUGGGUAGUGUUGAGACUUUAUGAAUUAGUUUUCAUGUUUGCAGUUUGUCUCUAUAUAAUAUGUACAUCCAAAGUUUGACAUUUGAAAGAUAGUAGGAACUGCAGAUGCUGGAGAAUCCGAGACAACAAGGUGCAGAGCUGGAUGAACACAGCAGGCCAAGCAGCAUCAUAGGAGCAGAAAGGCUGACGUUUCGGGCCUAAAGUUGCACAAGGGCUUUAUAAACACCCAGUAAGGUAUGAUAUGGAAGUGAAUAACCACUAAACUAGCGACACAGAAACAAAAGCAGAAGAAUGUAGUAACGAAUGUCGCAACAAACUUUAAAACUUCUUUGAAGCAGAGAAAGCAUUUUGGUUUUAACUGUAUGAGAGACAGCAAUAGAAGAUGAAAAACAAUUCAACUCCAAGUGGCUAAGCAUAACUUUAAAUAUAAGCAAAGAACUGCAGGUGGUGGAAACCUUAAUUAAAAGUAGAGUGCAAAAAGUACUCGGCAGUUCUGGCAGUAGCUGUGGGGAAAGAGAACAAUACCUAAAGAUUUCAGGGCAGUGACCCUACAUCAGACUUUAACCCUAUUUUUCUCCCAGUCCUGACAGCAUCUAGAGGAUUUCUAGAAUGUUCUGCCUUUAUAGCAACUAAGGAAAACAAGAGUGGGUGGGUGGGUGUGGGUGGAGAGAAAAAGAGCAUUGAAGCUGGUGAGAUGUGUGUGGAAAAAUCAGUAAAUGGAAACAGGCAGGUAGGAAAAUGUGGAGAAGAGCAUUUUUCUAAAAAAAAGCUACUCCCCAAAAAGUGGUAUUGAUAACCCAAAAGAUCUUUUACAUAAAUAUUCAACAGUUGGCUGAACUGAGUACGGAGAACAUUAUGAUUUUGAAGAAUGAUGAAAUGCUAUAGGUCAGCUUAUGGGACUGAACAUAUAAUUAAAUGCAUAUGGAAUAGUUGCCACUUAUUGAUCAGCAUGAAAUUGAGGACCCCGUUAUGUCAUUAAACAUGUAUGAUGUCUUUCAUAUUGAUUUUUAUUCUUAGUAAUCUUAACAUCCUUUGUUUAGUUUGACUUGCCUGGAUGUUAUUUUGCAAAACUUCAGUGGAAAACUUCAAGAGGUGUUCCCCAGGUGGUGGAGUGUGUGCCCAACUAGAGGGGGUCUGAAAAAAUGCCCAAACUUUGGAAAGCAAAGUUAAAUGGUGUAAAUGUAACAGAAAGAGUAUAGAUGUCAGGUCAUAAUUUUGACUUGAGUAACACUUUUACAGGGAAGACUGUUUAAGCUUCUCAAGGUCAGAAGAUUAUUUUAGUAUUAAAUUUAAAAUGAACAUUUCUGUGGAGUCAGUGGCAAUGAUGUAAAGGCAACUCUCUUUUGCUAGAAAAGCUAUCACAUUGCUGCUUGUCUUACGUUCCAUCAUUCCCUCCUUUUCUAUUGUUCCUGUAUCCUUGUCUAUGACAUUACUUAACUGGUUGCUUCAGUGAUGUAGUAAUUGAAAUCCACUCCAAUUCUAUAUUUGCUCUCAGUAAAGAAAUUAUUUGCUAAUGAAUUUAAGGCAAGGCCAUCCUAUCUAAGCAAUUUUCCAAAGUGUCUGAACUCUUCCUCCAUAUUUACAUCAUCCCUCAAGCCUUGCAUUUAAAUGGCUUUGUUAGUAAUCCUGAGAUUGUCUAAGAUAUUGCAGUUGAAACUGACUUAGAUGAAAAUCCUUUUUUUCAGGCUUCAAUAAGAACAGUAUUUUUCUGUUAAUCUAUCUUUUCCAGUGGUUUUCUCACUUGCUUCAUUAUGUCCCAUAUUGCUACACCUGAGAAUCAAGAUAUUAUAUGGAGCUCUUGACAUGACUGCAAAUUUAAACGAUAAAAUGCAUGAAAUAAUGUGAACUAUGUAGAAAUUUAAUCAGACUUGUUCAAAUCAGGACUCUGGCUCUGGACGAUGAAGAGGAACUGUUGUAUUUGCAAAAUUCAAGGCCAGAGGAGACCAAUGAAAGUGAUUGCUAAAAAUUAACAGCAGCAUUGGGGGGAGGUGGGGAGAAAUUGUAUGCAAUCAGGGGGUCAGAUCUGGAAUACAAUGAUUGAGGUGCGUUCAGUCGAAGCUUCACAAGGGGAUUGGAUCAUUUAUCUGAAGACAUAAUUUACAUGUAAAUGGUGAAAAGACUAGAUUAAAUUCUCUUGCAGAGAGCUGGCAAGGAUACAUCAGGCUGAAUGGCCUCCUUCUAUAACCAUUUUCUGGAAAGGUCGUCCUCCUAAUGGAAGAGCUCAACAUUCUGUUCGGGGAAAUGGCCAAAACAUUGAAGAGUACAUUUGGUGGAGGACAGCAAAUUAUAAAAAGGCUCAUAAGUUACAUUAUCAUACUGAGAAUAGACUAAAGGAAUAAGCAUGGAGUUAAACAGAUAUGUUUGUUACAGAAGUAAAGGGAGCCAUGAAAGGACGGGAGUACAAAAGAAUAUUUGAUUUGAAAAUGGAUUGUGAACAGGAAACAAGCAAAAAGAGCAGUUUCAUACUUUGAGAAACCAUUUGGCUGAGUGAAGCAUGAAAAAUUAAUUUUAUAUCUUGGUAGGAUAUCAAUUAAUGAGAAUGGCAGGGCCUUUUAAAAAUCUUUGCAAGAAAAUAUCAAGCAACAGCAAAGUUGAUAGUCUUUUUAUUACUGAUAAAUGUCAGGAGGAAUGUGAUUUGGGAGGGAAAACAAAAUCGACCAAACAUUUCAACACAUUCUACAUUAAUUAUUACAACUGGCAAAUGUAGCUGGGGUCAAGCCCAAUAGGAGAAAAAAAAUGAAAACCAAUUUGAAGGUGCAGUAAUGAUAGCAGCACUUAUUGCAGAUACAAAUGACAUUGCACGAGACUGCUGAUUUGUAGUAUUUAUUUUCCAAACAAUCGCAAAGAAAGAGAGAUAACAAGGUGUAGAGCUGGAUGAACACAGCAGGCCAAGCAGCAUCAGAGGAGCAGGAAAGCUGACAUUUCGGGAGCCUACAAAGAAAGAACAUGCCAAAUUGGAUUUGAGCGCUUCUGUAGAACUCUGACCAGCACCACUGCACUGGGAACAAAGACCCCCUGUGGAAUUUCAGCACCAGAAUGCUUUGUGAUAAAUAUGGACCACAACGAUGUGAAAAUUAGCUUUUGGAUAUUGAAGUAGGACAGGUGUUAGAAUUGUAAUGCUUCAAACAGGUGUUGAAAAACGAUGAUUGGUAAAAUACUGGAACUCUUAAGAAAGAAAACGUGAUUAUGUAGAGAAAAAUUACAUGCACUAGGCAUAGUAUUAGCUAUAUGAUAGCCUGUCAUUCUUUGACCAGACUGCAAGCAUGCUCUAAGGUAUGUGGUUAAUCCUUCAAUUCUGCAGAACUGAAACAUCAGACUUGCUGCAUCCUGGCACUCAGCUAAGUUCAGAGAAACUCUGUCCAACUUCACAGAUUAGGUAAAUAUAUGUCACAAGCUUUGUAAUAAAACAUUAAAUCUGGAAAAACUUUGGAAGUGUUGGCUUAUUCAGUUGUGCUACAUCUUGGAACAGAAAUAUUGUCAAGAGAGUAGUCCCUUGGAGGCUGUUGACGUUCAUUAACUGAGCAUCAGAAAUGAUAAGCAUAGCAAUGAGUAGUCAUCAAACCAACUGAUCUUUUGCACUUUUCUUUUUAUCAUGUUCAACUCUCUCAUAAGAUCUAACCCAGUAGUAGAACAGGAGGAGCUUAAAUUUAUAUGUUGUCUUUCAUUGCCUCAGAAGGUCUGAAUAUCCUUUACUUGAUUGUCUAUAAAGUGUAGUCACUAACAUAGACCAAUGUGACAGCCAGUUUGCACAGUGGGUCCCACAAACAGCGAAUGAUAUGACUAUAAUCUGUUUUAGGUGUUGGUUCAGGGAUGAAUAUUUGGGAGGAUGAAGGGGGUACUUCACUGCUCAUUUGUUUUCAAAUAGUGACAUGGUAUCUUAUGUUCCUUCCCCUGCCCAUCCCACCCCAUUAAGAGGAUGGACAAGAUUAAUGCCUUCACAUUGUAUCACUCCCUGUGUAUCACUCUCCUCAGGAUCAUACUGAAAUGUUUGUCUGGAUUGGGUGCUGAAGUCUGUGGAAUGGAGUUUGAAUCCCAUGACCUUCUGUCUCUGAAUCAAGAGUGCAGCUUCUGCUGGAAAGAGGCAGACAAGGUAGCAUCAUGUGAAGACAAGGACAAGACUUAUACAUGUGACGAUUGACUCCCUUUAUGCAUGUAUAAUCCGGUCUGACUUCUCGAAGUGGAUGUAUGCUGCUAGAAAUGGUGCAUGUUGGAUGUGAUUUUAAAGGCUUGCAUUGCUGUAACACAAGGACAGGGGGAGGUUCCCUGGUCAAAUUCUGAGCAUUAAUCUAUCAAGAAUUUGAUUAAUUGGUCAUUUUUCAUGUCUGUCAAGACUAAUAGUGGGUACACUUUUUUUUUCAAAGCGAUUAUUUGAUU